AGUCUCCAGGGUGCUUUGAACCAGGACGGCUUCUUUUGAUAGUCACUAUCAUUGUUCUAAAUGUCACAAGCCCCGUGGUUGCAUGUAAAGCAAAGAAAGAUGAAUUUCUGUCCCAAAGCCCAAGGGUCCACACAAGAAUAAUAGCACCUGCCUGUGCUAAUUUGCCAAGAACAAAUGAUUUCGGUGGAGGGUGUAACUUUUGUGGCGCCUUCCGGUGAUUUAAUCAGAGAUUGCCAGGGAAAACCACUGUUUUUAAGAGUUAUGGCUUCCACCCGCACAUCAUAGGAGCGGGGUGUGAGAAAAUCAUUCAGGGAUUUCAGACUAAGCCCUUUUAGUUUCCUUCCCCACUGUCACCGCAGAGGUAGAAGUGUCCUUGACCACCACCAGAAUCACAAGCAUGGAGGUCGUCCACUUGGACGUAUUUUAUGUGGGAGUGACAGGAAAAUGAAUGGCAGCAUAAAUUGGAUUAAAGUUUCUGCCUUGUCAGCAUUACCUUUAGGAAAUGUAAGCAAGCUAUUUGUACAGCACAUUUCCAACUAUGUACACUUGUAGAACUGUUUUAUCUUUGGUGAUAUUACAAUUUUAAACUUUAGUGUAUUUUAUUGUGUUUUUAUGUGA
Girardinichthys multiradiatus is the source of this 618-nucleotide long non-coding RNA. RefSeq lists it as uncharacterized. The transcript is spliced from 4 exons. Lineage: Eukaryota; Metazoa; Chordata; Actinopteri; Cyprinodontiformes; Goodeidae. The record is from RefSeq and is a predicted model, not a curated record.